This is a long non-coding RNA of Mesoplodon densirostris (Blainville's beaked whale), 337 nucleotides long. RefSeq lists it as uncharacterized. The record is from RefSeq and is a predicted model, not a curated record. NCBI's taxonomy places the organism in Eukaryota, Metazoa, Chordata, Mammalia, Artiodactyla, Ziphiidae. The transcript is spliced from 3 exons.
AUGUAGAGGACAGCUAGAGGAAGAGAAAUCUCUAGGGCAGUUUGAGACAAAGUCACUAGAGAAGUGGAAAGUAACCAAGUCACGUGAAUUGUCAACGAAGGAAAGAGAAUAGCGUGUUUCAAGAAGAAAAGGAUGGUCAAUUAAGUCAACAAUUGAAAGGUGCCCGAAGAUUGGGCAACAAGGAAGUCACUGAGGAUCUUGUUGAAAGUGUUUCAGUGAAGAGGUGGCUUCUGAAUCCUGCUCAACACACCCUGAGGGUUCACCACUACCAUUGGAUCUGAGUUGUAAUUUUAGCUAAAAUGCACCGUUUCCCAAUAUGAUGGCCAUGUAGAGCAUC